Molecule: ribosomal RNA, 1333 nt
Filed under: uncultured bacterium
Lineage: Bacteria
Description: bacterial SSU rRNA
Rfam family: Bacterial small subunit ribosomal RNA
Source: RNAcentral
GACGAACGCUGGCGGCGCGCCUAACACAUGCAAGUCGAACGAGCGAGAGAGAGCUUGCUUUCUCAAGCGAGUGGCGAACGGGUGAGUAACGCGUGAGGAACCUGCCUCAAAGAGGGGGACAACAGUUGGAAACGACUGCUAAUACCGCAUAAGCCCACGGCUCGGCAUCGAGCAGAGGGAAAAGGAGCAAUCCGCUUUGAGAUGGCCUCGCGUCCGAUUAGCUAGUUGGUGAGGUAAUGGCCCACCAAGGCGACGAUCGGUAGCCGGACUGAGAGGUUGAACGGCCACAUUGGGACUGAGACACGGCCCAGACUCCUACGGGAGGCAGCAGUGGGGAAUAUUGCACAAUGGGGGAAACCCUGAUGCAGCGACGCCGCGUGGAGGAAGAAGGUCUUCGGAUUGUAAACUCCUGUUGUUGAGGAAGAUAAUGACGGUACUCAACAAGGAAGUGACGGCUAACUACGUGCCAGCAGCCGCGGUAAAACGUAGGUCACAAGCGUUGUCCGGAAUUACUGGGUGUAAAGGGAGCGCAGGCGGGAAGACAAGUUGGAAGUGAAAUCCAUGGGCUCAACCCAUGAACUGCUUUCAAAACUGUUUUUCUUGAGUAGUGCAGAGGUAGGCGGAAUUCCCGGUGUAGCGGUGGAAUGCGUAGAUAUCGGGAGGAACACCAGUGGCGAAGGCGGCCUACUGGGCACCAACUGACGCUGAGGCUCGAAAGUGUGGGUAGCAAACAGGAUUAGAUACCCUGGUAGUCCACACUGUAAACGAUGAUUACUAGGUGUUGGAGGAUUGACCCCUUCAGUGCCGCAGUUAACACAAUAAGUAAUCCACCUGGGGAGUACGACCGCAAGGUUGAAACUCAAAGGAAUUGACGGGGGCCCGCACAAGCAGUGGAGUAUGUGGUUUAAUUCGACGCAACGCGAAGAACCUUACCAAGUCUUGACAUCCCUUGACGAUGCUGGAAACAGUAUUUCUCUUCGGAGCAAGGAGACAGGUGGUGCAUGGUUGUCGUCAGCUCGUGUCGUGAGAUGUUGGGUUAAGUCCCGCAACGAGCGCAACCCUUAUGGUCAGUUACUACGCAAGAGGACUCUGGCCAGACUGCCGUUGACAAAACGGAGGAAGGUGGGGAUGACGUCAAAUCAUCAUGCCCUUUAUGACUUGGGCUACACACGUACUACAAUGGCGUUAAACAAAGAGAAGCAAGACCGCGAGGUGGAGCAAAACUCAGAAACAACGUCCCAGUUCGGACUGCAGGCUGCAACUCGCCUGCACGAAGUCGGAAUUGCUAGUAAUCGUGGAUCAGCAUGCCACGGUGAAUACGUUCCCGGGCCUU